This 231-nucleotide ribosomal RNA is filed under the name uncultured bacterium. Its description in RNAcentral is "partial 16S ribosomal RNA". It matches the Rfam family "Bacterial small subunit ribosomal RNA", at positions 103 to 334 of the family's 1533-position model. The record is from RNAcentral.
CGGGUGCGUAACGCGUAUGCAACCUACCCCUUCCAGGGGGAUAGCCUUCCGAAAGGGAGAUUAACACCGCAUAAGAUAGCUGGAUGGCAUCAUCGGGCUAUGAAAUCUACGGAGGGAAGGGAUGGGCAUGCGUCCGAUUAGCUAGUUGGCGGGGUAGUGGCCCACCAAGGCCACGAUCGGUCGGGGACCUGAGAGGGCGAUCCCCCACACUGGCACUGAGAUACGGGCCAG